UACGUAGGUGGCAAGCGUUGUCCGGAAUCAUUGGGCGUAAAGCGCGCGUAGGCGGCCAGAUAAGUCCGGUGUGAAAGUCAAAGGCUCAACCUUUGAAUGCCGCUGGAAACUGUCUGGCUAGAGUCCGGGAGGGGCGAGUGGAAUUCCUGGUGUAGCGGUGAAAUGCGCAGAUAUCAGGAGGAACACCAAUGGCGAAGGCAGCUCGCUGGAACGGUACUGACGCUGAGGCGCGAAAGCGUGGGGAGCGAACAGG
RNAcentral lists this ribosomal RNA (253 nucleotides) under uncultured bacterium. RNAcentral describes it as "partial 16S ribosomal RNA". It matches the Rfam family "Bacterial small subunit ribosomal RNA", at positions 524 to 776 of the family's 1533-position model. The record is from RNAcentral.